This 253-nucleotide ribosomal RNA is filed under the name uncultured bacterium. RNAcentral's name for it is "partial 16S ribosomal RNA". It matches the Rfam family "Bacterial small subunit ribosomal RNA", at positions 524 to 776 of the family's 1533-position model. The record is from RNAcentral.
UACGUAGGGUGCAAGCGUUGUCCGGAAUUAUUGGGCGUAAAGGGCUCGUAGGCGGUCUGUCGCGUCGGGAGUGAAAACUCAGGGCUUAACCCUGAGCCUGCUUCCGAUACGGGCAGACUAGAGGUAUGCAGGGGAGAACGGAAUUCCUGGUGUAGCGGUGAAAUGCGCAGAUAUCAGGAAGAACACCCGUGGCGAAGGCGGUUCUCUGGGACGGUACUGACGCUGAGACGCGAAAGCGUGGGGAGCGAACAGG